CUCAGGAUGAACGCUAGCUACAGGCUUAACACAUGCAAGUCGAGGGGAAACGGGCGCCAAGCUUGCUUGGCGCAGUCGUCGACCGGCGAAUGGGUGAGUAACGCGUAUCCAACCUGGCUUCAAGCAGGGAACAGGCUUUCGAAAGAAAGAUUAAUACCCUAUGUGGUCCUCGGAAGACAUCAGAGGAGGACGAAAGAUUCAUCGCUUGAAGAUGGGGAUGCGUCUGAUUAGGCAGUUGGCGGGACAAGGGCCCACCAAACCGACGAUCAGUAGGGGUUCUGAGAGGAAGGUCCCCCACAUUGGAACUGAGACACGGUCCAAACUCCUACGGGAGGCAGCAGUGAGGAAUAUUGGUCAAUGGGCGGAAGCCUGAACCAGCCAAGUAGCGUGCAGGAUGACGGCCCUAUGGGUUGUAAACUGCUUUUGAAGGGGAGUAAAGUGAGUGACUUGUCAUUCAUUGCAAGUACCCUUGGAAUAAGGACCGGCUAAUUCCGUGCCAGCAGCCGCGGUAAUACGGAAGGUCCGGGCGUUAUCCGGAUUUAUUGGGUUUAAAGGGAGCGUAGGCUGCCCGGCAAGCGUGCUGUGAAAUACAGUGGCCCAACCACUGGACUGCAGCGCGAACUGUCGGGCUUGAGGGCGCACGACGCAGGCGGAAUUUGUGGUGUAGCGGUGAAAUGCUUAGAUAUCACGAAGAACCCCGAUUGCGAAGGCAGCUUGCGGGAGCGCGACUGACGCUGAAGCUCGAAAGUGCGGGUAUCAAACAGGAUUAGAUACCCUGGUAGUCCGCACGGUAAACGAUGGAUGCCCGUUCUGCGGCCUUCGGGCCGCGGGACCAAGCGAAAGCAUUAAGCAUCCCACCUGGGGAGUACGCCGGCAACGGUGAAACUCAAAG
Molecule: ribosomal RNA, 892 nt
Filed under: uncultured bacterium
Lineage: Bacteria
Description: bacterial SSU rRNA
Rfam family: Bacterial small subunit ribosomal RNA
Source: RNAcentral